This 253-nucleotide ribosomal RNA is filed under the name uncultured bacterium. RNAcentral's name for it is "partial 16S ribosomal RNA". It matches the Rfam family "Bacterial small subunit ribosomal RNA", at positions 524 to 776 of the family's 1533-position model. The record is from RNAcentral.
UACGUAGGGCGCAAGCGUUGUCCGGAAUUAUUGGGCGUAAAGAGCUCGUAGGCGGCUUGUCACGUCGGGUGUGAAAGCCCGGGGCUUAACCCCGGGACUGCAUUCGAUACGGGCUGGCCAGAGUGUGGUAGGGGAGAUCGGAAUUCCUGGUGUAGCGGUGAAAUGCGUAGAUAUCGGGAGGAACACCAGUGGCGAAGGCGAUCACCUGGGGUUGUUCUGGCGCUGAGGAGCGAAAGCUAGGGGAGCAAACGGG